Molecule: ribosomal RNA, 127 nt
Filed under: Staphylococcus canis
Lineage: Bacteria; Bacillati; Bacillota; Bacilli; Caryophanales; Staphylococcaceae
Description: partial 23S ribosomal RNA
Rfam family: Bacterial large subunit ribosomal RNA
Source: RNAcentral
AAAAGAUUAAGUUAUUAAGGGCGCACGGUGAAUGCCUUGGCACUAGAAGCCGAUGAAGGACGUUACUAACGACGAUAUGCUUUGGGGAGCUGUAAGUAAGCUGUGAUCCAGAGAUUUCCGAAUGGGG